GUAGGAGCGAGCUUGCUCGCGAAAGAUCUUUCAGGCCCCAGCCGAUCGGUAGCCUGGACUAUUUAUCGCGAGCAAGCUCGCUCCUAC
Molecule: unclassified non-coding RNA, 87 nt
Filed under: Pseudomonas sp. NFIX51
Lineage: Bacteria; Pseudomonadati; Pseudomonadota; Gammaproteobacteria; Pseudomonadales; Pseudomonadaceae
Source: RNAcentral